RNAcentral lists this ribosomal RNA (617 nucleotides) under uncultured bacterium. RNAcentral's name for it is "bacterial SSU rRNA". It matches the Rfam family "Bacterial small subunit ribosomal RNA", at positions 338 to 956 of the family's 1533-position model. The record is from RNAcentral.
CCUACGGGAGGCAGCAGUGGGGAAUUUUGGACAAUGGGCGAAAGCCUGAUCCAGCAAUGCCGCGUGAGUGAAGAAGGCCUUCGGGUUGUAAAGCUCUUUUGUCAGGGAAGAAACGGUGAGAGCUAAUAUCUUUUGCUAAUGACGGUACCUGAAGAAUAAGCACCGGCUAACUACGUGCCAGCAGCCGCGGUAAUACGUAGGGUGCAAGCGUUAAUCGGAAUUACUGGGCGUAAAGCGUGCGCAGGCGGUUUUGUAAGUCUGAUGUGAAAUCCCCGGGCUCAACCUGGGAAUUGCAUUGGAGACUGCAAGGCUAGAAUCUGGCAGAGGGGGGUAGAAUUCCACGUGUAGCAGUGAAAUGCGUAGAUAUGUGGAGGAACACCGAUGGCGAAGGCAGCCCCCUGGGUCAAGAUUGACGCUCAUGCACGAAAGCGUGGGGAGCAAACAGGAUUAGAUACCCUGGUAGUCCACGCCCUAAACGAUGUCUACUAGUUGUCGGGUCUUAAUUGACUUGGUAACGCAGCUAACGCGUGAAGUAGACCGCCUGGGGAGUACGGUCGCAAGAUUAAAACGUCAAAGAUUAGAGGCGUGAGAGAGCGACGACGACGACGAGGAGGAGG